ACGGAGGGUGCAAGCGUUAUCCGGAAUCACUGGGUUUAAAGGGUGCGUAGGCGGCAUUGUAAGUCCGAGGUGAAAUCUCGCAGCUCAACUGUGAAAUUGCCUUGGAUACUGUGAUGCUUGAAUCACGUUGAGGUCAGCGGAAUGUGACAUGUAGCGGUGAAAUGCAUAGAUAUGUCAUAGAACACCAAUUGCGUAGGCAGCUGACUAGGCGUGUAUUGACGCUCAGGCACGAAAGCGUGGGGAGCGAACAGG
This 252-nucleotide ribosomal RNA is filed under the name uncultured bacterium. Its description in RNAcentral is "partial 16S ribosomal RNA". It matches the Rfam family "Bacterial small subunit ribosomal RNA", at positions 525 to 776 of the family's 1533-position model. The record is from RNAcentral.